Molecule: non-coding RNA, 660 nt
Organism: Pelobates cultripes (western spadefoot toad)
Lineage: Eukaryota; Metazoa; Chordata; Amphibia; Anura; Pelobatidae
Source: the annotation of a GenBank genome assembly
GUAAUAUUCAGAAAAAAAAUAUUUCUUUGUUAUAAGUAAAACAACUUAUACCUCCUGUUGUGCAAGUUUAACAAAGGCUUUAGGAAAGGUGGAAAUUACAGAAUCCAACCUACAUUGUCUACUGGAAUCAUAGAGUUUGGCUGUAAUGAUUAGAAGCAUUCAAUACAUUAAAUAUGCAAUAUAUGUUGUAUUCAUUCAUUAGCGUUCCUUUAAGACUUUCAUCUAAAAAAAAAAGAAUGCUCUCUCCAAGCAAUAUUAAAUCCCAAUAUCAAAAUGAAAUUUUUAUUACAAGAGAGGUGUGUGAAGAAGAGCCAAACCACUGAGUUAUUCAGGAGAGUCUCCUAAUUGCUAAAACUGGAUUCAAAACAUUGUGUGCAACUUUUUCCAAUUUGUAAGUUAAUAGAUACCCAACUGAAAACAAAAAUGGAUUUGUAUUCCAUUGGAGAUGUUGCCAGGCUGCAGGCAGUAGAGAAUACCUUUCUGGGGGUAUACUAAUGUAAUGUGAUUAGGGCAGAUGUGCUAAAUAAUGGUGGUGUUGGGGGAGGAGGGGGGGAGGGGCACGAAGGGCGGCUAUAUCUCAGGUGAGGUUUUAGUGAAAGGUACUAAAUCAGCAACAGCAUUUUACUGGUUCCCACGGGGAUUUCUCAUUAUAGUUCUUAA